Molecule: ribosomal RNA, 449 nt
Filed under: uncultured bacterium
Lineage: Bacteria
Description: partial 16S ribosomal RNA
Rfam family: Bacterial small subunit ribosomal RNA
Source: RNAcentral
AGCGAACGCUGGCGGCAGGCCUAACACAUGCAAGUCGAACGAACUCUUCGGAGUUAGUGGCGGACGGGUGAGUAACACGUGGGAACGUGCCUUUAGGUUCGGAAUAACUCAGGGAAACUUGUGCUAAUACCGAAUGUGCCCUUCGGGGGAAAGAUUUAUCGCCUUUAGAGCGGCCCGCGUCUGAUUAGCUUGUUGGUGGGGUAAUGGCCCACCAAGGCGACGAUCAGUAGCUGGUCUGAGAGGAUGACCAGCCACAUUGGGACUGAGACACGGCCAAACCUCCUACGGGGGGAAGCAGGGGGGAAUCUUGCGCAAUGGGCGAAAGCCUGACGCAGCCAUGCCGCGUGGAUGAUGAAGGUCUUAGGAUUGUAAAAUCCUUUCACCGGUGAAGAUAAUGACUGUAGCCGGAGAAGAAGCCCCGGCUAACUUCGUGCCAGCAGCCGCCGUAA